GAUGAAGAACGUAGCGAAAUGCGAUACGUAGUGUGAAUUGCAGAAUUCAGUGAAUCAUCGAAUCUUUGAACGCACAUUGCACCUCUCGGUAUUCCGGGAGGUAUGCCUGUUCGAGCGUCAUUUGUACCCUCCAGCUCUGCUUGGUGUUGGGUGUUUGUUCCGCCUCUGUGUGUGAACUCGCCUCAAAACAAUUGGCAGCCGGCGUACUUGUUUCGGAGCGCAGCACAUUUUGCGAUCCAGAUCAACGUACAGCGGCAUCCAAGAAGCCUUAUUUAACGCUCUUGACCUCGGAUCAGGUAGGGAUACCCGCUGAACUUAAGCAUAUCAAUAAGCGGAGGA
RNAcentral lists this unclassified non-coding RNA (339 nucleotides) under soil metagenome. Its description in RNAcentral is "partial contains 5.8S ribosomal RNA, internal transcribed spacer 2, and large subunit ribosomal RNA". The stretch from base 1 to 120 matches the Rfam family "5.8S ribosomal RNA", at positions 35 to 154 of the family's 154-position model. The record is from RNAcentral.